RNAcentral lists this ribosomal RNA (495 nucleotides) under uncultured bacterium. RNAcentral's name for it is "partial 16S ribosomal RNA". It matches the Rfam family "Bacterial small subunit ribosomal RNA", at positions 28 to 507 of the family's 1533-position model. The record is from RNAcentral.
GAUGAACGCUGGCGGCGUACCUAAUACAUGCAAGUAGAACGCUGAAGGAGGAGCUUGCUCUUCUGGAUGAGUUGCGAACGGGUGAGUAACGCGUAGGUAACCUGCCUGGUAGCGGGGGAUAACUAUUGGAAACGAUAGCUAAUACCGCAUGACAACGGUUAUUGCAUGAUAACUGUUUAAAAGGGGCAACUGCUCCACUACCAGAUGGACCUGCGUUGUAUUAGCUAGUUGGUGAGGUAACGGCUCACCAAGGCGACGAUACAUAGCCGACCUGAGAGGGUGAUCGGCCACACUGGGACUGAGACACGGCCCAGACUCCUACGGGAGGCAGCAGUAGGGAAUCUUCGGCAAUGGACGGAAGUCUGACCGAGCAACGCCGCGUGAGUGAAGAAGGUUUUCGGAUCGUAAAGCUCUGUUGUAAGAGAAGAACGAGUGUGAGAGUGGAAAGUUCACACUGUGACGGUAUCUUACCAGAAAGGGACGGCUAACUACGUG